This 497-nucleotide ribosomal RNA is filed under the name uncultured bacterium. Its description in RNAcentral is "partial 16S ribosomal RNA". It matches the Rfam family "Bacterial small subunit ribosomal RNA", at positions 28 to 507 of the family's 1533-position model. The record is from RNAcentral.
GAUGAACGCUGGCGGCGUGCCUAAUACAUGCAAGUCGAGCGAACGGACGAGAAGCUUGCUUCUCUGAUGUUAGCGGCGGACGGGUGAGUAACACGUGGAUAACCUACCUAUAAGACUGGGAUAACUUCGGGAAACCGGAGCUAAUACCGGAUGAUAUUUUGAACCGCAUGGUUCAAAAGUGAAAGACGGUCUUGCUGUCACUUAUAGAUGGAUCCGCGCUGCAUGAGCUAGUUGGUAAGGUAACGGCUUACCAAGGCAACGAUGCAUAGCCGACCUGAGAGGGGGAUAGGCCACACGGGAAGUGGAACGCGGUCCAGGCUCCUGAGGGAGGCAGCAGUAGGGAACCUUCCGCAGUGGGCGGAAGCCUGGCGGAGCAACGGCGCGUGAGUGGUGAAGAUCUUCGGAGCGUGAGACUCUGUUAUUAGGGGAGAGCAUAUGUGUAAGUAAAUGUACACGUCUUGACGGUACCUGAUCAGGAAGCCACGGCUAACUACGUG